CUGGGCAAGAUUCACCGUGACCGGCCUUCUUUAAUACACCGGGCCUAGCAUCGCUUCUUGAAACAAUGCAAAACGUGGAUAGGCCACCUAUAAGCGCAAUACCAGCUACCAGGCCUUAGGUUUCAGUUACAGAAUACGGCAUUCAGCCAAGUUGGUCUUGCGGCAGUCCGUAAGUAUGUGAUGAUCAGCUGGAAUUUGGAGCAUGACAGCGCAUGUACUGCUGUAGUGCCAGAGCUUUAUUCAGUAUUAGCAAAUAUAAAUUUUAUCAAUACGGUUUACAUUUAUUAAGUUAAAAUCUUCACUACUAUGUUGCUUAGGUGAUUUCCAAUAUAGUUCAUUUUUUAGAAUUA
This 350-nucleotide long non-coding RNA is filed under the name Daphnia magna. RNAcentral describes it as "uncharacterized LOC116922032". The record is from RNAcentral. Lineage: Eukaryota; Metazoa; Arthropoda; Branchiopoda; Diplostraca; Daphniidae.